Molecule: ribosomal RNA, 497 nt
Filed under: uncultured bacterium
Lineage: Bacteria
Description: partial 16S ribosomal RNA
Rfam family: Bacterial small subunit ribosomal RNA
Source: RNAcentral
GAUGAACGCUGGCGGCGUGCCUAAUACAUGCAAGUCGAGCGAACAAACGAGGAGCUUGCUCCUCUGACGUUAGCGGCGGACGGGUGAGUAACACGUGGAUAACCUACCUAUAAGACUGGGAUAACUUCGGGAAACCGGAGCUAAUACCGGAUAAUAUAUUGAACCGCAUGGUUCAAUAGUGAAAGACGGUUUUGCUGUCACUUAUAGAUGGAUCCGCGCCGCAUUAGCUAGUUGGUAAGGUAACGGCUUACCAAGGCAACGAUGCGUAGCCGACCUGAGAGGGUGAUCGGCCACACUGGAACUGAGACACGGUCCAGACUCCUACGGGAGGCAGCAGUAGGGAAUCUUCCGCAAUGGGCGAAAGCCUGACGGAGCAACGCCGCGUGAGUGAUGAAGGUCUUCGGAUCGUAAAACUCUGUUAUUAGGGAAGAACAAAUGUGUAAGUAACUAUGCACGUCUUGACGGUACCUAAUCAGAAAGCCACGGCUAACUACGUG